UACAAAGAAGCCUCAGCAGACAUGGAAGAUCAGACACGAACAUUCAAAGACAGAUUUAUUUAGAAACUUCUGGAAAUUCAAGGAUCGAUUUGUCAUCGGAUGAACAACGGAGACUAAACAUUAGCCUCGACGAUGUUAAGGUGAGGGGAAACCGAGAGACACAACCACGGACUUCAGCUAGAAGUAAAGAACAAGACAUUCUUUGAUAAUCCAACACCCAAGGCUUCGUACUGAUGAAACAUCCUGUGAUUUGAAGAAGGCACUCACCAAGGCAGGAAAUGUGGAGAAGCCACGGAGCCUUCAGUCCAACAGAGUCGACAGGACGAGGUGAACGACAUCAGCUAAUUGGCAGAAUCCAACCGUGAUAAUCCGUCACCUGAGGAUUUGUUUGGAGGGAAAAAUGUGAACAAAGUUCAAUCCAAAGGAGAAAAAUACCGCACCCCGCCCCUAGGAGGAGCCAGAAUCAAUCACCCUAAGAUGUCCCCAGGAGACGAGUGGGAAAGGGUUCAACAGAGAGAGGGAUUUAUGGGCAUCACAAACGACACAAACUAACCCUUCAACUGACACACGAUGACCACCUGACCAGACCACCACCUGACCACACCACCAGAUGACCAGACCACCAGAUGACCACCACCUGUUAGAGCUGUAAACAGUCCCUGACACUGUUGUCUGUUGAAGCAGUUCCUGACACUGUUGUCUGUUGGAACAGUUCCUGACACUGUUUUCCGUUGAAACAGUUCCUGACACUCUUGUCUGUUGUCUGUUGAAACAGUUUCUGACACUGUUGUCGGUUGAAACAGUUCCUGACACUGUUUUCCGUUGAAACA
This is a long non-coding RNA of Cynoglossus semilaevis (tongue sole), 830 nucleotides long. RefSeq lists it as uncharacterized. The record is from RefSeq and is a predicted model, not a curated record. NCBI's taxonomy places the organism in Eukaryota, Metazoa, Chordata, Actinopteri, Pleuronectiformes, Cynoglossidae. The transcript has 4 exons.